Molecule: transfer RNA, 68 nt
Filed under: Parazacco spilurus
Lineage: Eukaryota; Metazoa; Chordata; Actinopteri; Cypriniformes; Xenocyprididae
Description: tRNA-Cys
Rfam family: tRNA
About the family: Transfer RNA (tRNA) molecules are approximately 80 nucleotides in length.
Source: RNAcentral
AGCCCUGUGGUGAAGAUACAUGUUGGAUUGCAAAUCCAGAGACGUAGAUUAAUAGUCUGCCGGGGCUU